GUGGAUAUAGUUUAAUCGGUAAAACGUAUAUUUUAGGGAUAUAUAUCUUGAGUUCGAAACUCAAUAUCUACA
This 72-nucleotide transfer RNA is filed under the name Eremothecium sinecaudum. RNAcentral describes it as "tRNA-Thr". It matches the Rfam family "tRNA". From Rfam's summary of the family: Transfer RNA (tRNA) molecules are approximately 80 nucleotides in length. Their secondary structure includes four short double-helical elements and three loops (D, anti-codon, and T loops). Lineage: Eukaryota; Fungi; Ascomycota; Saccharomycetes; Saccharomycetales; Saccharomycetaceae. The record is from RNAcentral.